RNAcentral lists this ribosomal RNA (19 nucleotides) under Ensis macha. Its description in RNAcentral is "partial 28S ribosomal RNA". Lineage: Eukaryota; Metazoa; Mollusca; Bivalvia; Adapedonta; Pharidae. The record is from RNAcentral.
UCCGACCUCAGAUCAGACG